CCUACGGGGGGCUGCAGUGGGGAAUAUUGGACAAUGGGGGGAACCCUGAUCCAGCCAUGCCGCGUGUGUGAAGAAGGCCCUCGGGUUGUAAAGCACUUUCAGUGAGGAAGAACGCCUGGUGGUUAAUACCCAUCAGGAAAGACAUCACUCACAGAAGAAGCACCGGCUAACUCCGUGCCAGCAGCCGCGGUAAUACGGAGGGUGCGAGCGUUAAUCGGAAUUACUGGGCGUAAAGCGCGCGUAGGUGGCUUGAUAAGCCGGUUGUGAAAGCCCCGGGCUCAACCUGGGAACGGCAUCCGGAACUGUCAAGCUAGAGUGCAGGAGAGGAAGGUAGAAUUCCCGGUGUAGCGGUGAAAUGCGUAGAGAUCGGGAGGAAUACCAGUGGCGAAGGCGGCCUUCUGGACUGACACUGACACUGAGGUGCGAAAGCGUGGAUAGCAAACAGGAUUAGAUACCCUUGUAGUC
This 465-nucleotide ribosomal RNA is filed under the name Vreelandella stevensii. RNAcentral's name for it is "partial 16S ribosomal RNA". It matches the Rfam family "Bacterial small subunit ribosomal RNA", at positions 338 to 795 of the family's 1533-position model. The record is from RNAcentral. Lineage: Bacteria; Pseudomonadati; Pseudomonadota; Gammaproteobacteria; Oceanospirillales; Halomonadaceae.